Molecule: ribosomal RNA, 400 nt
Filed under: uncultured Glomeromycotina
Lineage: Eukaryota; Fungi; Glomeromycota
Description: SSU rRNA
Rfam family: Eukaryotic small subunit ribosomal RNA
Source: RNAcentral
CCGCUGAUUCCUCCUUUCUGAAGAACUGUAAUGUCAUUAAUUUGGUGUUGCAGGGAAACAGGACUGUUACUUUGAAAAAAUUAGAGUGUUUAAAGCAGGCUAACGCUUGAAUACAUUAGCAUGGAAUAAUGAAAUAGGACGUUCAAACCUAUUUUGUUGGUUUCUAGGAUUGACGUAAUGAUUAAUAGGGAUAGUUGGGGGCAUUAGUAUUCAAUUGUCAGAGGUGAAAUUCUUGGAUUUAUUGAAGACUAACUACUGCGAAAGCAUUUGCCAAGGAUGUUUUCAUUAAUCAAGAACGAAAGUUAGGGGAUCGAAGACGAUCAGAUACCGUCGUAGUCUUAACCAUAAACUAUGCCGACUAGGGAUCGGAUGAUGUUAAUUUUUUAAUGACUCAUUCGGC